AUUGAACGCUGGCGGCAUGCCUUACACAUGCAAGUCGAACGGUAACAGGUCUUCGGAUGCUGACGAGUGGCGAACGGGUGAGUAAUACAUCGGAACGUGCCCGAUCGUGGGGGUUAACGGAGCGUAAGCUUUGCUAAUACCGCAUACGAUCUACGGUUGAAAGCAGGGGACCGCAAGGCCUUGCGCGGACGGUGCGGCCGAUGGCUGAUUAGUUAGUUGGUGGGAUAAAAGCUUACCAAGGCGACGAUCUGUAGCUGGUCUGAGAGGACGACCAGCCACACGGGAAGGGAGACACGGACAAGAGGACUACGGGAGGGAGCAGAGGGGAAUGGGGGACAAUGGGGGAAAGCAUGAUACAGCAAUGGCGAGUGAAGGAUGAAGGCGUUGGGGUUGGAAAGUGGGUUUGUAGGGAACGAAAAGACGCUGUCUAAGAAAGAGGGUGAAUGACGGUAACGUAAGAAUAAGCACCGGCUAACUACGUG
This 482-nucleotide ribosomal RNA is filed under the name uncultured bacterium. Its description in RNAcentral is "partial 16S ribosomal RNA". It matches the Rfam family "Bacterial small subunit ribosomal RNA", at positions 29 to 507 of the family's 1533-position model. The record is from RNAcentral.